CCUACGGGGGGCAUCAGUGGGGAAUAUUGGACAAUGGGGGGAACCCUGAUCCAGCCAUGCCGCGUGUGUGAAGAAGGCCCUCGGGUUGUAAAGCACUUUCAGUGAGGAAGAACGCCUGGUGGUUAAUACCCAUCAGGAAAGACAUCACUCACAGAAGAAGCACCGGCUAACUCCGUGCCAGCAGCCGCGGUAAUACGGAGGGUGCGAGCGUUAAUCGGAAUUACUGGGCGUAAAGCGCGCGUAGGUGGCUUGAUAAGCCGGUUGUGAAAGCCCCGGGCUCAACCUGGGAACGGCAUCCGGAACUGUCAAGCUAGAGUGCAGGAGAGGAAGGUAGAAUUCCCGGUGUAGCGGUGAAAUGCGUAGAGAUCGGGAGGAAUACCAGUGGCGAAGGCGGCCUUCUGGACUGACACUGACACUGAGGUGCGAAAGCGUGGGUAGCAAACAGGAUUAGAUACCCUUGUAGUC
Molecule: ribosomal RNA, 465 nt
Filed under: Vreelandella stevensii
Lineage: Bacteria; Pseudomonadati; Pseudomonadota; Gammaproteobacteria; Oceanospirillales; Halomonadaceae
Description: partial 16S ribosomal RNA
Rfam family: Bacterial small subunit ribosomal RNA
Source: RNAcentral